This 561-nucleotide ribosomal RNA is filed under the name uncultured bacterium. RNAcentral describes it as "bacterial SSU rRNA". It matches the Rfam family "Bacterial small subunit ribosomal RNA", at positions 943 to 1501 of the family's 1533-position model. The record is from RNAcentral.
GGUUUAAUUCGAAGCAACGCGAAGAACCUUACCAGGUCUUGACAUCCUCUGACAACUCUAGAGAUAGAGCGUUCCCCUUCGGGGGACAGGGUGGCAGGUGGUGCAUGGUUGUCGUCAGCUCGUGUCGUGAGAUGUUGGGUUAAGUCCCGCAACGAGCGCAACCCUUGACCUUAGUUGCCAGCAUUCAGUUGGGCACUCUAAGGUGACUGCCGGUGACAAACCGGAGGAAGGUGGGGAUGACGUCAAAUCAUCAUGCCCCUUAUGACCUGGGCUACACACGUGCUACAAUGGGUGGUACAAAGGGUUGCGAAGCCGCGAGGCCAAGCCAAUCCCAAAAAGCCACUCUCAGUUCGGAUUGUAGGCUGCAACUCGCCUACAUGAAGCCGGAAUUGCUAGUAAUCACGGAUCAGCAUGCCGCGGUGAAUACGUUCCCGGGCCUUGUACACACCGCCCGUCACACCACGAGAGUUUGUAACACCCGAAGUCGGUGGGGUAACCCUUUUGGGAGCCAGCCGCCGAAGGUGGGACAGAUGAUUGGGGUGAAGUCGUAACAAGGUAACC